GCUGCUGAAACUUAUUCUGUGAUCAGCUCAGUACCCUUACCGGCCCUGCCUUUAGACACCAGUGGAGACAUAAAAGUGGAUUCUAAGAUAACAGUGGUCGACACGUAUCAUGUGUACAGCUCCAUCCCUGACACACACGUGACCACCAAUGACGCAGUGUACAGCCUGCUGCAGAUGCACUGAUGUAUAUUACACCUUAAUGAAUGUAAAUAGUUAUUUACAGUAUUAUUCUUAUGCCUGUUAUGCCUUAACAUGUGCUUUAAUUGAAUAGCUUGCUUUUGGAUUUGAAAUGAAUUGGACUGCUGCUGGCUUGUAACUGCGAUGUCACUGAAUGGAGCUCAAGACUGAGUCCAGAUUAAUAAAGAGCUGAUGGUUUUACAGUUGCUUCAUGAAUAAGUUUUUUACAGUUGCUUCAUGAAUAAGUAACUUUAUUACUAUUGUUUUUUUUAAAUUAUUAUUUUACACUCCUACAGCAGUUUCUGAAUCUUGCUUUUUUCCAUCCACAGCCUUUCUUCAAA
This is a long non-coding RNA of Ictalurus punctatus (channel catfish), 518 nucleotides long. The record is from Ensembl. NCBI's taxonomy places the organism in Eukaryota, Metazoa, Chordata, Actinopteri, Siluriformes, Ictaluridae.